Molecule: ribosomal RNA, 253 nt
Filed under: uncultured bacterium
Lineage: Bacteria
Description: partial 16S ribosomal RNA
Rfam family: Bacterial small subunit ribosomal RNA
Source: RNAcentral
UACGGGGGGAGCAAGCGUUGUCCGGAUUUAUUGGGCGUAAAGAGCGUGUAGGCGGCCAGGUAGGUCGGUUGUGAAAACUCGAGGCUCAACCUCGAGAUGUCGACCGAAACCAUCUGGCUAGAGUCCGGAAGAGGAGAAUGGAAUUCCCGGUGUAGCGGUGAAAUGCGCAGAUAUCGGGAAGAACACCCGUGGCGAAGGCGGUUCUCUGGGACGGUACUGACGCUGAGACGCGAAAGCGUGGGGAGCGAACAGG